AUUUGAUGUUCUUGGUUCUUUUGGCCACAUCACAUUGCUAUUAUUGAUCACAAAUGAGGUUUCUUAACCCGUUUGAAUAUUCUAUGGUUUGUCUUAUCCAUUUUACGGGACUCUAUUUUAUUCUUCUACCAUCCACUUUUGUUUACCAACUUUCUGAGGUUCUUAUUUUAUUCGAAAUUGGUUCAACUCUUAUCAGAUUUCUAAUCUCGUUUCAAUUCGGAUA
This 223-nucleotide long non-coding RNA is filed under the name Erythranthe guttata (spotted monkey flower). RNAcentral's name for it is "long non-coding RNA (EGUT_LNC002068)". The record is from RNAcentral. Lineage: Eukaryota; Viridiplantae; Streptophyta; Magnoliopsida; Lamiales; Phrymaceae.